GAUGAAUGUUGGCGGUGUGCCUGAGAUAUGCAAGUCGAACGUCUUUUUGCCGCAAGGCAGAAGGUAGUGGCGGACGGCUGAGUAACACAUAGGGGACUUACCCCUUUUUGAAGGAUAGCCCAUCGAAAGGUGGGAUAAUACUUCAUGGUAUGGAUACCGUAAGGUAUUUAUUAAAGAGAUUAACUUCUCGAAAAGGGAUGGACCUGUGGCUUAUCAGAUAGUUGGUGGGGUAACGGCCUACCAAGUCUACGACGAGUAGCUGGCCUGAGAAGGUGGUCAGCCAGAGGGGGACUGAGACACGGCCCCCACUCCUACGGGAGGCAG
This 324-nucleotide ribosomal RNA is filed under the name uncultured Microgenomates group bacterium. RNAcentral describes it as "bacterial SSU rRNA". It matches the Rfam family "Bacterial small subunit ribosomal RNA", at positions 28 to 351 of the family's 1533-position model. The record is from RNAcentral.